Molecule: non-coding RNA, 93 nt
Organism: Mycena galericulata
Lineage: Eukaryota; Fungi; Basidiomycota; Agaricomycetes; Agaricales; Mycenaceae
Source: the annotation of a GenBank genome assembly
UCGGGUGUGGUGCACGGCGCACAGCAGCGGAAAUUAAUGUUCAAAUAUAUGCCUUACCUGCUGCAGACCGGGGUUCGACUCCCCGCACCCGAA